This 253-nucleotide ribosomal RNA is filed under the name uncultured prokaryote. Its description in RNAcentral is "partial 16S ribosomal RNA". It matches the Rfam family "Bacterial small subunit ribosomal RNA", at positions 524 to 776 of the family's 1533-position model. The record is from RNAcentral.
UACAGAGGUCCCGAGCGUUGUUCGGAUUCAUUGGGCGUAAAGGGUGCGUAGGCGGGUCUUUAAGUCAGGGGUGAAAUCUCCCGGCUCAACUGGGAGGGUGCAUUAGAAACUGGAAUGCUAGAGGAUGGGAGAGGUAAGCGGAAUUCCUGGUGUAGCGGUGAAAUGCGUAGAUAUCAGGAGGAACACCUGUGGUGUAGACAGCUUACUGGACCAUGACUGACGCUGAGGCACGAAAGCGUGGGGAGCAAACAGG